RNAcentral lists this ribosomal RNA (243 nucleotides) under uncultured Actinomycetales bacterium. RNAcentral describes it as "partial 16S ribosomal RNA". It matches the Rfam family "Bacterial small subunit ribosomal RNA", at positions 88 to 334 of the family's 1533-position model. The record is from RNAcentral. Lineage: Bacteria; Bacillati; Actinomycetota; Actinomycetes; Actinomycetales.
UACUCGAGUGGCGAACGGGUGAGUAACACGUGGGUGAUCUGCCCUGCACUUCGGGAUAAGCUUGGGAAACUGGGUCUAAUACCGGAUAGGAACCAUCUUUAGUGUGGUGGUUGGAAAGUUUUUUCGGUGUAGGAUGAGCUAGCGGCCUAUCAGCUUGUUGGUGGGGUAAUGGCCUACCAAGGCGGCGACGGGUAGCCGGCCUGAGAGGGUGUACGGCCACAUUGGGACUGAGAUACGGCCCAG